This 1141-nucleotide long non-coding RNA is filed under the name Trifolium pratense (red clover). RNAcentral describes it as "long non-coding RNA (TPRA_LNC002249)". Lineage: Eukaryota; Viridiplantae; Streptophyta; Magnoliopsida; Fabales; Fabaceae. The record is from RNAcentral.
AUGGUAAACCUUGUAGUAUUUGACCGUUUUUAAAAUUUUGCAAACAUAUGGCGCAAUUAAUUUGACUAAACCGAAGAGGGUUGGAUGAGUUAUAUGUUAACUCUUUUACCCGCUCAUGAAAUGGUUGACGAAUCACAUUCAAUGAUCGACGAGCCAUGUAAUUUUUAAUAACUAAAUAUAAAAGCCAUAUUAUACAUCCAAAUACAAAUAAAAUUAUUAGUCCUAAUAUUAUUUUAUUAACUAAAAUAUCGUCAACAUCUUCGCGUGGAUCAAAAUUCUUUCUCAUUUCCUGAAGGAAAAAAAAAAAAGAUCAUGUUAGAUUACAAUUAUUCACAGAAUCACUAAUUUAACACUUCUAUUACUCUUGUUAAAAAAAUCAUUCUAACUUAAGAUAAUUGGUAUUUUAGAAAUUUAUCAUAUAAUUAACAUUUACUCUUGCAAUUAAAACCUGAGCAAAUUAAAGAAAAAGAAAAAAAUGACAAUAAUCUUAGAGAAAUAUCUAUAUUACUGAUACUCUUCUCAUCAAAGAUGUUAUUGUUAUAAACUAAUGUAAAUAGGAGCAAUAGUAUAGAUGGAGAAGAGAGAAAAGAGAGAAAGAAUAGUGUAUGUUAUUCACCACUAGGAUUAGGGUUACAAUAUAGUGAUACAUAGUAUCUAUAUAUAGGUAAACAUAUUGGGCCAAUUACAUGGGCCAGAACAUCCACUAAUAAUAUUCAUAACAGUUAUGACAAUAAAAUAAAUAUUAUUCAGUGGCACAUACAUUAAUUCAUUUAUAGAAAAUAUAUAUAUAUAUUUUGCAAUCAUAUUUACACAAUUAAACAUAAUAGAUAAAUAUAAAAGGAUGACGCUUACGUGUCUAUUGAUAUGAAUGGAAAUCCAAGGCAAAUAUGCAAAAGCUCUGCAUUGAUGCCAUUGAGGUAUAAGUAGUAGUAAGUUUUGAAGUUGAGAUCGUAAAACCAAUCAACUAAUAAAUUCAACAUUACAAUAUUUAGUUGAUAAUUUAAAGAGCAAUUAAGUUGAUUAUACAAAAAUAAUAAUUUAAAUUGACCACCUGAAUAUUUGACGAGACACAUAUUUUGAAUUGAUGAUACACAUAUAAUGCUCGAAGAGUCAUGUAACUUUAAAUAACUAAAUAUAAAAG